RNAcentral lists this ribosomal RNA (433 nucleotides) under uncultured bacterium. Its description in RNAcentral is "partial 16S ribosomal RNA". It matches the Rfam family "Bacterial small subunit ribosomal RNA", at positions 29 to 507 of the family's 1533-position model. The record is from RNAcentral.
AACGAACGCUGGCGGCAUGCCUAACACAUGCAAGUCGAACGAUGCCUUCGGGCUUAGUGGCGCACGGGUGCGUAACGCGUGGGAAUCUGCCUUUCGGUUCGGAAUAACUCAGGGAAACUUGAGCUAAUACCGGAUAACGUCGCAAGACCAAAGAUUUAUCACCGAAAGAUGAGCCCGCGUAGGAUUAGCUAGUUGGUGAGGUAAAGGCACACCAAGGCGACGAUCCUUAGCUGGGCUGAGAGGAUGAUCAGCCACACUGGGACUGAGACACGGCCCAGACUCCUACGGGAGGCAGCAGUGGGGAAUAUAGGACAAUGGGCGAGAGGCUGAUCCAGCAAUGCCGCGUGAGUGAUGAAGGCCUUAGGGUUGUAAAGCUCUUUUACCCGGGAAGAUAAUGACGGUACCGGGAGAAUAAGCCCCGGCUAACUCCGUG